AUAAUAUAUUAUCAGUAGACCACUUGUAAUGGGCAUAGUUUUUUCAAAAUCCUCCACCAAACACGCUCAAUCUCGCCCGACUCCCACCCCCUCGGCGUUAUGUGGCGUUUUUUAUCAAAAAAAAUUGAGCAGCAUGGUUUAAAACACGCCAAUUUUAUGCAUUGGGUUGAGAGUUUACAAUUACAAACGGCGGUUGGGUUUCAGGCACAAUCUCCACAUCGUCUUCGGGUUCGGAUUGGGUCGAGAUCGGUUGAGGUUGAACGGGGGGUGUGGGGAUCGGUUGACGUUGAACGGGGGGUGUGGGGAUCGGUUGAGGUUGAACGGGUGGGAAGUUCCAAGCACCCCGCAUCAUCAUUUGUUGAAGAGCUUGAUUUUGGGAGAUUUGAGUGAAUUGGUUUGGCGAUUGUUGGAAUGAAGCAAACGCGUUCGAUGAAUAUUGGGAGAAUUGGUUCGGUUCUAGCGUUGGAUAAUAUCCCGGAACCGAAAAAACAUUUGGUUGGGUCGGAUUGUUGGGAGUAUUCGGGUUGUUCGAAGUGUUCGGGUUCUCCGGGUUGUUGAACGGAUCCAUGAAAAUUAUGUGGAAGAAGGUUGAGAGAAUAGUGGAAGGAGUGUAAAAAUUAUAUGAGAAAGAGGUGAAUUGUUGAGGUUAAUUUGGUGUUUGAUAGUGAAAAUGGAAGUAAUAUUUAUAUAUUUUAUUAAUAUAGCCGUUUGUAAUUAUUCAAAUUUUGGAAA
Helianthus annuus (common sunflower) is the source of this 732-nucleotide long non-coding RNA. RefSeq lists it as uncharacterized. The record is from RefSeq and is a predicted model, not a curated record. The transcript is spliced from 2 exons. NCBI's taxonomy places the organism in Eukaryota, Viridiplantae, Streptophyta, Magnoliopsida, Asterales, Asteraceae.